Ribosomal RNA from Chelonoidis abingdonii (Abingdon island giant tortoise), 103 nucleotides. The record is from Ensembl. Lineage: Eukaryota; Metazoa; Chordata; Testudines; Testudinidae.
AUCUCUGGUUUUUGAUCUUGUCUCAACACAGAAGCUAAGCAGGGGGCAUCCUGGGCAGUACUUGGAUGAGAAAUCACUAUGGAAAACCUACAUGCUAUAGAGA